This 440-nucleotide ribosomal RNA is filed under the name uncultured bacterium. Its description in RNAcentral is "partial 16S ribosomal RNA". It matches the Rfam family "Bacterial small subunit ribosomal RNA", at positions 338 to 795 of the family's 1533-position model. The record is from RNAcentral.
CCUACGGGAGGCAGCAGUGGGGAAUAUUGCACAAUGGGGGAAACCCUGAUGCAGCGACGCCGCGUGAAGGAAGAAGUAUUUCGGUAUGUAAACUUCUAUCAGCAGGGAAGAAAAUGACGGUACCUGACUAAGAAGCCCCGGCUAACUACGUGCCAGCAGCCGCGGUAAUACGUAGGGGGCAAGCGUUAUCCGGAUUUACUGGGUGUAAAGGGAGCGUAGGCGGGUUAGCAAGUCAGAAGUGAAAGCCCGGGGCUCAACUCCGGGACUGCUUUUGAAACUGUUGAACUAGAGUGCAGGAGAGGUAAGUGGAAUUCCUAGUGUAGCGGUGAAAUGCGUAGAUAUUAGGAGGAACACCAGUGGCGAAGGCGGCUUACUGGACUGUAAAUGACGCUGAGGCUCGAAAGCGUGGGGAGCAAACAGGAUUAGAUACCCCAGUAGUC